RNAcentral lists this ribosomal RNA (819 nucleotides) under uncultured bacterium. Its description in RNAcentral is "bacterial SSU rRNA". It matches the Rfam family "Bacterial small subunit ribosomal RNA", at positions 8 to 796 of the family's 1533-position model. The record is from RNAcentral.
AGAGUUUGAUCAUGGCUCAGGACGAACGCUGGCGGCGUGCCUAAUACAUGCAAGUCGAACGAAACUUUCUUACAUCGAAUGCUUGCAUUCACCGUAAGAAGUUGAGUGGCGGACGGGUGAGUAACACGUGGGUAACCUGCCUAAAAGAAGGGGAUAACACUUGGAAACAGGUGCUAAUACCGUAUAUCUCUAAGGAUCGCAUGAUCCUUAGAUGAAAGAUGGUUCUGCUAUCACUUUUAGAUGGACCCGCGGCGUAUUAACUAGUUGGUGGGGUAACGGCCUACCAAGGUGAUGAUACGUAGCCGAACUGAGAGGUUGAUCGGCCACAUUGGGACUGAGACACGGCCCAAACUCCUACGGGAGGCAGCAGUAGGGAAUCUUCCACAAUGGACGCAAGUCUGAUGGAGCAACGCCGCGUGAGUGAAGAAGGUCUUCGGAUCGUAAAACUCUGUUGUUAGAGAAGAACACGAGUGAGAGUAACUGUUCAUUCGAUGACGGUAUCUAACCAGCAAGUCACGGCUAACUACGUGCCAGCAGCCGCGGUAAUACGUAGGUGGCAAGCGUUGUCCGGAUUUAUUGGGCGUAAAGGGAACGCAGGCGGUCUUUUAAGUCUGAUGUGAAAGCCUUCGGCUUAACCGGAGUAGUGCAUUGGAAACUGGAAGACUUGAGUGCAGAAGAGGAGAGUGGAACUCCAUGUGUAGCGGUGAAAUGCGUAGAUAUAUGGAAGAACACCAGUGGCGAAAGCGGCUCUCUGGUCUGUAACUGACGCUGAGGUUCGAAAGCGUGGGUAGCAAACAGGAUUAGAUACCCUGGUAGUCC